Molecule: ribosomal RNA, 507 nt
Filed under: uncultured bacterium
Lineage: Bacteria
Description: bacterial SSU rRNA
Rfam family: Bacterial small subunit ribosomal RNA
Source: RNAcentral
UGGCUCAGAUUGAACGCUGGCGGCAGGCCUAACACAUGCAAGUCGAACGGUAACAGGAAGAAGCUUGCUCUUGCUGACGAGUGGCGGACGGGUGAGUAAUGUCUGGGAAACUGCCUGAUGGAGGGGGAUAACUACUGGAAACGGUAGCUAAUACCGCAUAACGUCGCAAGACCAAAGAGGGGGACCUUCGGGCCUCUUGCCAUCGGAUGUGCCCAGAUGGGAUUAGCUUGUUGGUGGGGUAACGGCUCACCAAGGCGACGAUCCCUAGCUGGUCUGAGAGGAUGACCAGCCACACUGGAACUGAGACACGGUCCAGACUCCUACGGGAGGCAGCAGUGGGGAAUAUUGCACAAUGGGCGCAAGCCUGAUGCAGCCAUGCCGCGUGUAUGAAGAAGGCCUUCGGGUUGUAAAGUACUUUCAGCGGGGAGGAAGGGAGUGAAGUUAAUACCUUUGCUCAUUGACGUUACCCGCAGAAGAAGCACCGGCUAACUCCGUGCCAGCAGCUGC